Long non-coding RNA from Arabidopsis lyrata subsp. lyrata, 337 nucleotides. RefSeq lists it as uncharacterized. The transcript has 2 exons. Lineage: Eukaryota; Viridiplantae; Streptophyta; Magnoliopsida; Brassicales; Brassicaceae. The record is from RefSeq and is a predicted model, not a curated record.
AUUUUUAUUGCCUCCAGGAUUACUGAAGGUAGAAAUUGCUUGGAAGUGGACCUUAUUCAUGUAUGAGAAAGAUCUUUCAAGAGAUGUGAGUACUAAAAGCGAGAGAAAUUUAUUGGGCCAUGUCGACUAAGCCCAGUAAGCUGAAUUUAUUGGAUCCGAAUCAUGGCUCCAAGAUCCGAAUGUAGAUCCGCGUGUAAUUGUCUGCAAAUUAUCCAUUAUGCCCUUUGACGAAAUCUGUAAUGUAAUCGUAGGUUGUAAAUUUUCCAAUGGCAAUUUUAGUAAUUUUUUACACUUUAUAAGGUUAUUUAAGUUAGAAUGAUUCCCAAUUAAUAGUAUA